Mustela lutreola (European mink) is the source of this 583-nucleotide long non-coding RNA. RefSeq lists it as uncharacterized. Lineage: Eukaryota; Metazoa; Chordata; Mammalia; Carnivora; Mustelidae. The transcript is spliced from 3 exons. The record is from RefSeq and is a predicted model, not a curated record.
UCGAGUUAUGAGACCACCGAUUCACGGCCUGCGCUUGCCUCUCUCUGAGAAGCUGAGAAGGCAGUAAACCUCCAUCACUCUGCAGUAUUGAAAUCUCAGAUUAUUCAAGGUACUCCGGGCACAUUUAGCAUGGGGAUGGGGAGAGACUCUGCGGUGCUUUGAUAAACAAUGAACUUAAAAGGAAAGAAAGUGAGGUUUAUAGUUGACGCUGAGUCUGUCGUUCAGUCAGCCCAGCUUGGGCUCCAGACAUGUGAGUCAAGAAGCCAUCUUGAAAAUGGACUCUCCAGCCCUAGCUGUCCCCACCACCAGCCAUUCAGAUCGCUCCCCACUGCGUGAGUGGUCCCAGCUGAAGCCUCAGAUACUGCGGAGCAGAGAAGGCUGUCCCCUUUGUCCUUUCUGAAUUCCUGACCCAAAGAAUCCAUGUGCCUAAUAAAAUGGUUGUCGGGGCGCUUGGGUGGCUCAGUCCAUUAAGCGUCUGCCUUUGGCUCAAGUCAUGGUCCCGGGGUCCUGGGAGCAAGUUCCACAUCGGGCUCCCUGCUGAGUAGGGAGCCUGCUCUUUCCUCUGCCUGCUGUUCCCCCUGCU